Molecule: unclassified non-coding RNA, 356 nt
Filed under: fungal sp.
Lineage: Eukaryota; Fungi
Also listed under: 1 other name
Description: partial internal transcribed spacer region
Rfam family: Eukaryotic small subunit ribosomal RNA (bases 1-46)
Source: RNAcentral
AAGUCGUAACAAGGUUUCCGUAGGUGAACCUGCGGAAGGAUCAUUAAUACGUAUCCACGUAUCAACCGAAUCGUGAACUCGUUCUCCGCCUUGGUUUUGUGAGAGAUUUGCGGUCAGUUAACUCCUCUCUAGGGCGGAGUUUUGAUGAUGUGCAACUGACUGGUCCUAGGAGAUUGUUUCUCUCUUCAGAGGGAAGCUUCUGCUAGCUCACCCAAGUGUGGCUCAACAAUUUGACGCAUCAUCAUUUUAAUUUAUUUAACCCCAUGUACAACAUUUUGAACUAAACAAAUCUUGGCGAAAGCUCAAGAAAAUCCGAAAUUAUGAAACAACUCUUAACAACGGAUAUCUUGGUUCUC